Molecule: ribosomal RNA, 465 nt
Filed under: uncultured bacterium
Lineage: Bacteria
Description: partial 16S ribosomal RNA
Rfam family: Bacterial small subunit ribosomal RNA
Source: RNAcentral
GAUGAACGCUGGCGGCGUGCUUAACACAUGCAAGUCGAACGGAAAGGCUCCUGCUUGCAGGGGUACUCGAGUGGCGAACGGGUGAGUAACACGUGGGUGAUCUGCCCUGCACUUCGGGAUAAGCCUGGGAAACUGGGUCUAAUACCGGAUAGGACCACAUUUUGGAUGGUGUGGUGGAGAGUAUUUCGGUGUGGGCUGAGCUCGCGGCCUCUCAGCUUGUUGGUGGGGUAGUGGCCUACCAAGGCGUCGCCGGGUAGCCUGCCUGGGAAGGUGUACGGCCACAUUGGGCCUGCGAUACGGCGCAGACCCCUACGGGAGACAGCAGUGGGGAAUAUUGCACAAUGGGCGCAAGCCUGAUGCAGCGGCGCCGCGUGGGGGAUGACGGCCUUCUGGUUGUAACCUCCUUUCGCUAGAGACGAAGCGCAAGUGACGGUACCUGGAGAAGAAGCACCGGCUAACUACGUG